GUAACUGAUUCUUGUGUUUGUAUGUCUUCCCCGACACCAUCCCAUGAAUCAGUAGCAGGACGGGGGAUGACGGUCGUACUUUGGGGUGCUUCUUCCCAAAUUUCAGCACAUUAAAAGCAGCUCACUGAAGCAGACCUUUGGGUAUAGCUGCUGUCCAGAACAGCUGAUUCAUCUCACCUAUGGAUUUGGCUUAAAGCAACACAGGGAAAGGCAGAUGGAGAGACUGUGUCUGCGUCCUCCUGAGCGGCCUCAUUCACUUCAAAGGAAUGCAAGUGUGAACACGGGCAGCAUGCCAACCCGUUUUCCCUCCAAGGGGUGUCCUAGAAGAAACUGGAAGACAUUGCUUGUGAAACUUUAAUAUCUGGUGACAUCCCACAAACUAAACAUCAGAAAUAUUAAGAAAAAAAUGCUUUUGUUUCACAACUAACAGCUACAAGACUCCCUGGAAAUUGGACCAUGGUUGUCCUUUUCCCACACUUCUGAUUGCUAAGUAGAAAAGCGGCUCCUUGUCAGACUAAAGAAUGACAAAGACUAAAAGGCAAGUGAUGAUGAAAACAAAUCAAACAUUAAAAAUGACGUACACCGUUCAAAAGCUUGAGUUUAUACCCAGGAGUAACCGGAAAAAUUAUUAAAGAGCCUGGUCUGAGAGCAAAGCUAGGCCAAGAACUUUCUUUCUUGCUGACAAUUCCUUAGGAAACCAAGGAGAGGAGGGGAAUUGGCAGGGGCGGGUCUUACAUACUCAAUUCUCUCCUGGACU
This is a long non-coding RNA of Suricata suricatta (meerkat), 757 nucleotides long. RefSeq lists it as uncharacterized. NCBI's taxonomy places the organism in Eukaryota, Metazoa, Chordata, Mammalia, Carnivora, Herpestidae. The record is from RefSeq and is a predicted model, not a curated record. The transcript is spliced from 3 exons.